This 2878-nucleotide ribosomal RNA is filed under the name Stenotrophomonas maltophilia Ab55555. RNAcentral describes it as "bacterial LSU rRNA". It matches the Rfam family "Bacterial large subunit ribosomal RNA". The record is from RNAcentral. Lineage: Bacteria; Pseudomonadati; Pseudomonadota; Gammaproteobacteria; Lysobacterales; Lysobacteraceae.
UCAAGCGAAUAAGCGCACACGGUGGAUGCCUUGGCGGUCAGAGGCGAUGAAGGACGUGGCAGCCUGCGAAAAGUAUCGGGGAGCUGGCAACAAGCUUUGAUCCGGUAAUGUCCGAAUGGGGAAACCCACCCGCUUGCGGGUAUCCUGCAGUGAAUACAUAGCUGCUGGAAGCGAACCUGGUGAACUGAAAUAUCUAAGUAACCAGAGGAAAAGAAAUCAACCGAGAUUCCGUAAGUAGCGACGAGCGAACGCGGACUAGCCCUUAAGCUGGAUUGGUUCUAGGAAAACGCUCUGGAAAGAGCGGCCAUAGAAGGUGAUAGCCCUGUAUCUGAAAGGGCCAUUCCAGUGAAGACGAGUAGGGCGGGGCACGUGAAACCCUGUCUGAACAUGGGGGGACCAUCCUCCAAGGCUAAAUACUACUGACCGACCGAUAGUGAACCAGUACCGUGAGGGAAAGGCGAAAAGAACCCCGGAGAGGGGAGUGAAAUAGAACCUGAAACCGUGUGCGUACAAGCAGUAGGAGCUCCGCAAGGAGUGACUGCGUACCUUUUGUAUAAUGGGUCAGCGACUUACUGUUCGUGGCAAGCUUAACCGUAUAGGGGAGGCGAAGGGAAACCGAGUCUGAUAAGGGCGCAUAGUCGCGGGCAGUAGACCCGAAACCGGGUGAUCUAGUCAUGCCCAGGGUGAAGGUGCGGUAACACGCACUGGAGGCCCGAACCCACUCCCGUUGCAAAGGUAGGGGAUGAGGUGUGAUUAGGAGUGAAAAGCUAAUCGAACCCGGAGAUAGCUGGUUCUCCUCGAAAGCUAUUUAGGUAGCGCCUCAUAUGUAUCCUCUCGGGGGUAGAGCACUGUUAUGGCUAGGGGGUCAUCGCGACUUACCAAACCAUUGCAAACUCCGAAUACCGAGACGGACUGUAUGGGAGACACACGGCGGGUGCUAACGUCCGUCGUGAAAAGGGAAACAACCCAGACCCACAGCUAAGGUCCCAAAUUCACUGCUAAGUGGAAAACCAUGUGGAAAGGCACAGACAGCCAGGAGGUUGGCUUAGAAGCAGCCACCCUUUAAAGAAAGCGUAAUAGCUCACUGGUCGAGUCGGUCUGCGGGGAAGAUUUAACGGGGCUAAGCAGUGAACCGAAGCUUGGGGUGCAUAACUUUGUUAUGCGCGGUAGAGGAGCGUUCCGUAAGCCGUUGAAGGUGGAUUGAGAAGUCUGCUGGAGGUAUCGGAAGUGCGAAUGCUGACAUGAGUAACGAUAAUGCGGGUGAAAACCCCGCACGCCGAAAGCCCAAGGUUUCCUUGCGCAACGUUAAUCGGCGCAGGGUGAGUCGGCCCCUAAGGCGAGGACGAAAGUCGUAGUCGAUGGGAAGCAGGUUAAUAUUCCUGCACCUCGCGUAAGUGCGAUGGAGGGACGGAGAAGGUUAGGUGUACCAGGCGUUGGUUGUCCUGGGGAAAGGCGGUAGGUUUGGAUCUUUGGCAAAUCCGGGAUCCUUUAAGACCGAGCACCGAGACGAGCCUUUAUGGCGAAGUCACUGAUACCACGCUUCCAGGAAAAGCUCCUAAGCUUCAGCUUACGCAGACCGUACCGUAAACCGACACAGGUGGGUAGGAUGAGAAUUCUCAGGCGCUUGAGAGAACUCGGGUGAAGGAACUAGGCAACAUGGCACCGUAACUUCGGGAGAAGGUGCACCCUUUUUGGUGGCUCGUGCGAGCUAUAGCUGAAGAGGGUCGCAGUAACCAGGCCGCUGCGACUGUUUAUCAAAAACACAGCACUCUGCAAACACGAAAGUGGACGUAUAGGGUGUGACGCCUGCCCGGUGCUGGAAGGUUAAUUGAUGGGGUCAGCCGCAAGGCGAAGCUCUUGAUCGAAGCCCCAGUAAACGGCGGCCGUAACUAUAACGGUCCUAAGGUAGCGAAAUUCCUUGUCGGGUAAGUUCCGACCUGCACGAAUGGCGUAACGACAGCGGCGCUGUCUCCACCCGAGACUCAGUGAAAUUGAAAUCGCUGUGAAGAUGCAGCGUUCCCGUGGCAAGACGGAAAGACCCCGUGAACCUUUACUAUAGCUUUACACUGAACGUUGAGUUCGUCUGUGUAGGAUAGGUGGGAGGCUAUGAAACUGUGGCGCUAGCUGCAGUGGAGCCAUCCUUGAAAUACCACCCUGUCGUGCUUGACGUUCUAACCUGGGCCCAUUAUCUGGGUCGGGGACCGUGUAUGGUGGGUAGUUUGACUGGGGCGGUCUCCUCCUAAAGAGUAACGGAGGAGCUCGAAGGUACGCUCAGCGCGGUCGGACAUCGCGCACUGUGUGCAAAGGCAUAAGCGUGCUUGACUGCAAGAUCGACGGAUCAAGCAGGUAGGAAACUAGGACUUAGUGAUCCGGUGGUUCUGUAUGGAAGGGCCAUCGCUCAACGGAUAAAAGGUACUCCGGGGAUAACAGGCUGAUACCGCCCAAGAGUUCAUAUCGACGGCGGUGUUUGGCACCUCGAUGUCGGCUCAUCACAUCCUGGGGCUGUAGUCGGUCCCAAGGGUAUGGCUGUUCGCCAUUUAAAGUGGUACGCGAGCUGGGUUCAGAACGUCGUGAGACAGUUCGGUCCCUAUCUGCCAUGGGCGUUGGAGAUUUGAGAGGGGCUGCUCCUAGUACGAGAGGACCGGAGUGGACGAACCUCUGGUGUUCCGGUUGUCACGCCAGUGGCAUUGCCGGGUAGCUAUGUUCGGAAGCGAUAACCGCUGAAAGCAUCUAAGCGGGAAGCGCGCCUCAAGAUGAGAUCUCCCGGGGCACAAGCCCCCUGAAGGAACCAUGUAGACUACGUGGUUGAUAGGUCAGGUGUGUAAGUACAGCAAUGUAUUGAGCUAACUGAUACUAAUGAUCCGUGCGGCUUGACCAU